ACGGGUGAGUAACGCGUAUGCAACCUACCUAGUCAGAGGGGAAUAACCCGGCGAAAGUCGGACUAAUACCGCAUAAAACAGGGGCACCGCAUGGUGAUAUUGUUAAAGAAAUUCGCUGAUAGAUGGGCAUGCGUUCCAUUAGGUAGUUGGUGAGGUAACGGCUCACCAAGCCGACGAUGGAUAGGGGAACUGAGAGGUUGGUCCCCCACACUGGUACUGAGACACGGACCAGACUCCUACGGGAGGCAGCAGUGAGGAAUAUUGGUCAAUGGGCGGGAGCCUGAACCAGCCAAGUCGCGUGAAAAGGAAGAAGGAUCUAUGGUUCGUAAAACUUCUUUUGCAGGGGAAUAAAGUGCAGGACGUGUCCUGUUUUGUAUGUACCCUGAGAAUAAGGAUCGGCUAACUCCGUGCCAGCCGCAGC
This 421-nucleotide ribosomal RNA is filed under the name uncultured bacterium. Its description in RNAcentral is "bacterial SSU rRNA". It matches the Rfam family "Bacterial small subunit ribosomal RNA", at positions 102 to 518 of the family's 1533-position model. The record is from RNAcentral.